Nephila pilipes (giant wood spider) is the source of this 73-nucleotide non-coding RNA. The record is from the annotation of a GenBank genome assembly. Lineage: Eukaryota; Metazoa; Arthropoda; Arachnida; Araneae; Nephilidae.
GCAGCGUUAGCCUAGUGGUCAUGAUUGCGGACUCGAGUUUCGUGGAAUCGUAGGUUCGAGCCUUCAUGCUACU